CACGCCGUAAACGUUGGGAACUAGGUGUGGGCCUCAUUCCACGAGGUCUGUGCCGCAGCUAACGCAUUAAGUUCCCCGCCUGGGGAGUACGGCCGCAAGGCUAAAACUCAAAGGAAUUGA
RNAcentral lists this ribosomal RNA (120 nucleotides) under uncultured bacterium. Its description in RNAcentral is "partial 16S ribosomal RNA". It matches the Rfam family "Bacterial small subunit ribosomal RNA", at positions 796 to 913 of the family's 1533-position model. The record is from RNAcentral.